This 646-nucleotide ribosomal RNA is filed under the name Venefica procera. Its description in RNAcentral is "partial 16S ribosomal RNA subunit". It matches the Rfam family "Bacterial large subunit ribosomal RNA", at positions 1796 to 2619 of the family's 2925-position model. The record is from RNAcentral. Lineage: Eukaryota; Metazoa; Chordata; Actinopteri; Anguilliformes; Nettastomatidae.
UCGCCUGUUUAUCAAAAACAUCGCCUCUUGCUAACAAAAUGUAUUAGAGGUCCCGCCUGCCCUGUGACCACAAAGUUUAACGGCCGCGGUAUCCUGACCGUGCGAAGGUAGCGUAAUCACUUGUCUUUUAAAUGAAGACCUGUAUGAAUGGCAUAACGAGGGUUUAACUGUCUCCUUCCCCCAGUCAAUGAAAUUGAUCUACCCGUGCAGAAGCGGGUAUAAAAACAUAAGACGAGAAGACCCUAUGGAGCUUUAGGCCAAAGACCAAACAUGUUAAGGGAUCACACAAACCCAUAAGAAUUAAUAAAUGAUCAAAUAAACCAAAUGUAACAAUGGUCCAAGUGCCUUCGGUUGGGGCGACCACGGGGAAAAAAGAAACCCCCACAUGGAAUGGAAACAUUUCCCUAAACUAAGAAAAACACCUCCAAGUAACAGAACAUCUGACCAAAAAUGACCCAGGGUUAUUACACCCUGAUCAAUGAACCAAGUUACCCUAGGGAUAACAGCGCAAUCCUUUCCCAGAGCCCAUAUCGACGAAAGGGUUUACGACCUCGAUGUUGGAUCAGGACACCCUAAUGGUGCAGCCGCUAUUAAGGGUUCGUUUGUUCAACGAUUAAUAGUCCUACGUGAUCUGAGUUCAGACCGG